Molecule: ribosomal RNA, 303 nt
Filed under: uncultured bacterium
Lineage: Bacteria
Description: bacterial SSU rRNA
Rfam family: Bacterial small subunit ribosomal RNA
Source: RNAcentral
UCGGGAAUAUUGCGCAAUGGAGGAAACUCUGACGCAGUGACGCCGCGUAUAGGAAGAAGGUUUUCGGAUUGUAAACUAUUGUCGUUAGGGAAGAAAAAAGACAGUACCUAAGGAGGAAGCUCCGGCUAACUACGUGCCAGCAGCCGCGGUAAUACGUAGGGAGCGAGCGUUAUCCGGAUUUAUUGGGUGUAAAGGGUGCGUAGACGGGUCUACAAGUUAGUUGUGAAAUCCCUCGGCUCAACUGAGGAACUGCAGCUAAAACUAUAGAUCUUGAGUGCAGGAGAGGUAAGUGGAAUUCCUAGU